Small nucleolar RNA from Ornithorhynchus anatinus (platypus), 68 nucleotides. RefSeq annotates it as small nucleolar RNA SNORD75. Lineage: Eukaryota; Metazoa; Chordata; Mammalia; Monotremata; Ornithorhynchidae. The transcript has a single exon. The record is from RefSeq and is a predicted model, not a curated record.
AGCCUAUGAUGGUUUUAAGUAUAAGAGUAGUGGACAGAUGUGAUUUCUGACAACUGACUACUGAGGCU